UACAGAGGCCCCAAGCAUUAUCCGGAAUCACUGGGCGUAAAGGGUGUGUAGGCGGUCGUGUUAGUCUUUUGUUAAAGUUCUUCGGCUUAACCGAGGAAAUGCAGAGGAAACGGCACGACUUAGAGGUUGCGAGAGGUAAAGGGAACUCAUAGUGUAGGGGUGAAAUCCGUUGAUAUUAUGGGGAACACCAAAUGCGAAGGCACUUUACUGGCGCACACCUGACGCUGAGACACGAAAGCGUGGGAAUCGAACGGG
RNAcentral lists this ribosomal RNA (255 nucleotides) under uncultured bacterium. RNAcentral's name for it is "partial 16S ribosomal RNA". It matches the Rfam family "Bacterial small subunit ribosomal RNA", at positions 524 to 776 of the family's 1533-position model. The record is from RNAcentral.